GAAGGUCCUUGUCCAUCAAUAAUGUCUUGAGGUCAGAGACAUCAACUAGAUCAUUCUGGAGAAUUUGGGUAGUAGCUAAGAGUAUCUGUGUAGCUGCAAAAGGAGAGCAAAAGCAAAUGUUUCAACAGCAGAAAUAGAGCAUAUGUUAUUAGUUAUCACUUAAUAGCCUCAGGUUGCAUAAAAUAUGAAGAUCUGAUUCUAGAAUUGUACAUGGAACUAUUUGUAUAGUUUUAAAAACCAGAGUGUAUUACAAUAGCUAACAGUCACAGGGCACUUGCUAAGUGCUAGACACUGUUUUAAGCAAUUUCACUUUACCAGAUUACAAAUGUCUUUAUAAUAAUCCCAAGAUAGGCAUUUUCAUCCCUGUUUUUCAGAUGAAAACACUGAGGUUAGCAAGAUUAAGUGAUUUACUAAAUAAUACAUUGGCAGUAAGUGGCAGGGAUGGGAUUUAAGUAACAGACCCUAUAGUUCCAAAGCCCAUCCUCUUAACCACUGUGCCUUUCAAGUAGAAACAUAUAGGUAGUCAACCUUUAUCCCUUGAGCCACAUAUUACUUCACAUGUGGCCCUGAAAUCAUUGUGAAGCAUUACUAAUAAGCUUUAAAUCAAAAUUGUCUUUCAUUAUUUAACUUAAAGUUAUGUUACCUUAAAAUGAUUAAACUGAUGAAUAACCUAUAAGCAUAAUUGUUUUCUAAGAAAUUCACUGGAUAUUAAUAUUGUGAAAAAUAAUUACUUCAGCCCUUUGUUGACAUGAGUAGCUUCUUCUUCCAGUUCUUAGUCAAACUGGUCCCAGUUGAGAAUAUUGUAUAAAUAAAAUAAUUUAUAGGUGAAAUAGAAGGUAUAGCUUGCUGGAUGUAAGAGGACAAACCACGCUCCAAUGUGAUCCAACAAUAAUACUAUCUUCCAUUUAUAAGGCAACUACCUUAUACCUACAUAUUUUGUUUCUAAACAAAAUUUUUUUAUCUGAAAUAUCUGAAUGUAAAUAGCCAACAAAAUGUCCCCUCACCAUUAACUAUAUUAUUGUGUUUUUUCUCCAAUGAGAACAUUCUCUUACAUAAUAACAAUACAAUCAUAAAAAUUCAGAAAUUAUUACAUUGAUAUAAUGUAAAAAUGUCAUCUAAUUCUCAAACCCAUUCACAUUCUGCUAUUUGUCCUGGUAAUACCAUUUUUAGCAAAAUGAUACAUAUUUUGUGAAUGCUAUAAAGAAGGCACCAAGAUUAACUUUUUAAUAAAUGAAUAUUCAAUUGAAAUAACAUCAUUUAUUUAAAAGGCCAUCCUUUCCUUGCUCCAUUGCAGUGGUACCUUUGUUGUAAAGGCGAUGGGCAUAUUAUGUGUAGAUCUCUUUCUGGACUCUGUAUUCUACUCUAUUGGUUUUUGUGUCAAUACCACACUGUCUUAAUUACAGUAACUUUGUUAUGAUAACAUGAUAAGCACUAUGUUAGAGACUUACCAUUUAAUACCUGGCCAAAUAAUCAAAGACAAUAAAGGUAAAAUAUGGAUAUUGGGAAGCAUUCAAAGACUCAAAAAUUAUAUCUCCCAUGCUGUUUUACUUUGGAACCUAAUGCAAAAUGUGCUUCAGUAAAAUAAAGAGUAAAUCAUGACAGGGAUUCAGUAAACAUGUGAGCCAUAGAACACUACUAAAGAGAAAUCCUGGGAUGACAGCUGUUUAGCGGGUGUAGGGGAGAAACAAUCCAAAUCAGAACAUCUAAAGUACAUAAAACUGUGUUUGAGUGUUUUGAAAAUGUUAAUAUUCAAACAUUUUUUAUUAUGAUUUCAAAAAUCAUAGUCAAUGUUUGACUAACAUUUCAAACAUGACUGUGUCAGAAAUGUUUAAAGUCCAAGAAGUGAAAUUACCUAUGCAACAUCAUACAACCGGUCAGUAGGAAAAAAAAAAUUCAGGUACCUAAAAUAUGACUACAAUGUUGUUUUUCAUAUACACACACCACCAAUUUGCAACCCUUUUUUAAAGCUUUUAAACAUUUUUUUUAUUUCUAAACAAACUCAAACUCUCAGAAAAGUUGCAAGUACCGUACAAAAAUUUUUUGUCUGAAACAUGGGAAAAAGUAAUAGGUCUAUAGGAAAACAUAUGUUUUUUAAAAAGAUAAUUGUUAACUCCAGAAGAAAGGGGAAGGGAGAGAUUGCACAUGCAAAGAGGCAUGGAGGUAAUGGGAUGACUACUGACUCAUCAAUGAGCUAAUUUGGAUAGUCAUAAUACUACUAAUUAAACACUGACUACUGAUUUAACCAAAACCUGUGAUAUAAUUACAUUUUCACACACUUGAGUCUAUAACUUUGUAAUCUACCUAAUACAGAGGCAUGGUCUCAAUUCUUACAACUUCUAUAGAAGCAUUAUUAGCCUUAUAUCCUUUGGAGCAUUAAGGUUCUCUUCUUUAAAAAAAGGAAUUAACGCUAUGAAGAUUGGAUCCUAAAGAAGCUAGCACACAAAAUGGACCCAACUAUGCCAUUUGAAUGAAAAGGAUUCCAAUGCCUGGAUAUAAAAGCAAAAUGUGUUUCAAAUUCCACUGAUAUUCUAAAGAAGAAAAGGAUAAUAAGAAAACUUAAAUUAUUUUUCCAGUAUCACCCAGACAGUAAUUACUAUGGUAACCUAUGCCAUAUAACAAAGUUAUUUGCCAAUUGUCUUCUAAUUCUGAACCUACUCAAUUUUUCAAAAUGUAAUAUAUAGGAGGCAUAAAAUUCAAUUUACAGCACUGUAUUUUGGAAAAGGCAGUCUAUCAAUUUAAUAAAAACGUGAUGUAUUUACAUUUUGCAUCUCUUGACUUUGUAACUUUUUAAUCAGUAGCUACUACAGGGAAAUGCUCUCACUUAAUUCUUACAACUAUCAUAUGAUAUAGGCAUUACUAUCCUUAUUUUGAGGAAAAGAAAACUGAGAAUAAGAGAAUCUAUCUAAUUUUCCAGGGCCAGUAAUUUCUAUAGUAAUCCACAUUAUAUAAUAAGGUUAUUUAUCCAUUAAAUUCUUAUGAUAGUAAACUAUACAACUUUUUAAAAUGUGAAAUAUUUAAGGCAAAAAAUUCAAUUUACAUCACUGAACUUAGAGACUUUUGAGACCAAACCACUCAUGUGGAAAACGAAUCUAAAAUCCAAAGAAGUGAAAUUACCUAACAAAAUCCAGGUACCUAAAAUUUAACUACAAUGUUAUUUUCCAUAUAUGCAUCGCCAAUUGGCAACCCUUUUAAAAAAAUUCUUUAACUUUUUUCUUUUUUUCUGUAUAAAAGGGAAGUUUAUUUUUAAUACAAAUACAAAAUUUAUUUCCAUAGAAAGCAAAAUUUAUAAGUUAAAUAUAAAGAUUAAAAUAGUAUUUGAAAAGCUCACUAUAGUGCUAACAAACUAAAUGAAAAUAAGGCUAUUUUGCAUUUAAAACUGAAAUACCUCUUAAAACAAUUUGAUCCCCAGUGUUUGCUCUUUUUGAAGUAACCGACUUACUCUUAAAAAGGAUGGCUGCCAAGAUGGAAAGUCUUAUUGGGUUUUCAUGUUAACCUAUUCUUUGGACAUAACUAUGAAUUUUGUAUACAAUGCAUUUCAUGAAAAGUUAUGGCUCCCCCAGAUUUCCCACAAGUGUGAUCUUGAAGUCCUAAACAUUUGUCCAUGUAAGCUUCAAAACAGAGCCUUAACUGAGUUAUUCAAGUAGCAGUACUUAAAGAUAUAAUUUUUGAAGCAGUUUCAAUGGUUUGUGAUCCAAAUAAUCAGUUUCUGAACAUUACUACUUCACGUAAUAGAGUCCAUCUUCAGUUUCUUCUCACUUUCUCUUUCCCUUUUGGGUUUCCUUUUUCUGGCCUGAGGCUACCAGUUCUUUGGGUACUAUCAAGAUACUUCCAUCAUGGGUACACUGAAGAGCAUAGUGGUUUGGAUUGACUGGCCUACCUUGGUCAUCUCUUAAUCUACUAAAAAUAUCAUGAUAAAGGUCAUGCAGUUUGUUUCAUUAUGUUAAUAGCUUUGAUACAUUGUGCUCGCUCUCUCUUAAGAGUUUCCUUCUUUGCUUGCAAGUUACAUACAUCAUCUUCUAGAUUCAAAAUUAUGUCCAAUUUGCGUUUACGAUAGUUCUGCGCAGCAACUUUAUUUUUCCCUCUUCGUCUGAUAUCACGGAUAAGUGAGACUUGUAGGUCUGUCAGAUAGUACCUACUUAACAUGCUAUUGAAUCAACAGGCAUGCCGACAAUUUCAUCUACAGAAAAAAGGGAUAUGCAAAGCUUUAGCACGCCGUUCAUCACGUUCAAGUUUCUAUCUGUGUCUUCAAG
RNAcentral lists this long non-coding RNA (4250 nucleotides) under Homo sapiens (human). RNAcentral describes it as "HSALNT0241706". The record is from RNAcentral. Lineage: Eukaryota; Metazoa; Chordata; Mammalia; Primates; Hominidae.